Molecule: non-coding RNA, 123 nt
Filed under: Actinomycetota bacterium
Lineage: Bacteria; Bacillati; Actinomycetota
Source: RNAcentral
AAGGGAAUCCGGUGCAAGUCCGGAACGGUCCCGCCGCUGUGAGGGGAGACGCUCCCGCGCCACACGCCACUGGCCUUCGGGCUGGGAAGGCGGCGAGGGAGGGAGCCCCGAGUCAGAAGACCU